This 253-nucleotide ribosomal RNA is filed under the name uncultured bacterium. RNAcentral describes it as "partial 16S ribosomal RNA". It matches the Rfam family "Bacterial small subunit ribosomal RNA", at positions 524 to 776 of the family's 1533-position model. The record is from RNAcentral.
UACGGAAGGGGCAAGCGUUGUUCGGAAUCAUUGGGCGUAAAGCGCGCGCAGGCGGUCUUUUAAGUCUGAUGUGAAAGCCCCCGGCUCAACCGGGGAGGGUCAUUGGAAACUGGGAGACUUGAGUGCAGAAGAGAAGAGCGGAAUUCCACGUGUAGCGGUGAAAUGCGUAGAGAUGUGGAGGAACACCAGUGGCGAAGGCGGCUCUUUGGUCUGUAACUGACGCUGAGGCGCGAAAGCGUGGGGAGCAAACAGG